UAGAGUUUGAUCAUGGCUCAGAUUGAACGCUGGCGGCAGGCCUAACACAUGCAAGUCGAGCGGUAGAGAGAAGCUUGCUUCUCUUGAGAGCGGCGGACGGGUGAGUAAUGCCUAGGAAUCUGCCUGGUAGUGGGGGAUAACGUUCGGAAACGAACGCUAAUACCGCAUACGUCCUACGGGAGAAAGCAGGGGACCUUCGGGCCUUGCGCUAUCAGAUGAGCCUAGGUCGGAUUAGCUAGUUGGUGAGGUAAUGGCUCACCAAGGCGACGAUCCGUAACUGGUCUGAGAGGAUGAUCAGUCACACUGGAACUGAGACACGGUCCAGACUCCUACGGGAGGCAGCAGUGGGGAAUUUUGGACAAUGGGCGAAAGCCUGAUCCAGCAAUGCCGCGUGCAGGAUGAAGGCCCUCGGGUUGUAAACUGCUUUUGUACGGAACGAAAAGCCUGGGGCUAAUAUCCCCGGGUCAUGACGGUACCGUAAGAAUAAGCACCGGCUAACUACGUGCCAGCAGCCGCGGUAAU
This 522-nucleotide ribosomal RNA is filed under the name uncultured bacterium. Its description in RNAcentral is "bacterial SSU rRNA". It matches the Rfam family "Bacterial small subunit ribosomal RNA", at positions 1 to 524 of the family's 1533-position model. The record is from RNAcentral.